Molecule: ribosomal RNA, 355 nt
Filed under: Alteromonas australica
Lineage: Bacteria; Pseudomonadati; Pseudomonadota; Gammaproteobacteria; Alteromonadales; Alteromonadaceae
Description: bacterial SSU rRNA
Rfam family: Bacterial small subunit ribosomal RNA
Source: RNAcentral
AAAGCACUUUCAGUUGUGAGGAAAAGUUAGUAGUUAAUACCUGCUAGCCGUGACGUUAACAACAGAAGAAGCACCGGCUAACUCCGUGCCAGCAGCCGCGGUAAUACGGAGGGUGCGAGCGUUAAUCGGAAUUACUGGGCGUAAAGCGCACGCAGGCGGUUUGUUAAGCUAGAUGUGAAAGCCCCGGGCUCAACCUGGGAUAGUCAUUUAGAACUGGCAGACUAGAGUCUUGGAGAGGGGAGUGGAAUUCCAGGUGUAGCGGUGAAAUGCGUAGAUAUCUGGAGGAACAUCAGUGGCGAAGGCGACUCCCUGGCCAAAGACUGACGCUCAUGUGCGAAAGUGUGGGUAGCGAACA